UCACCUUUAUAACCUUGCCUUAUCUACCAGAACACAGAUCCCUCUUACUAAAGAUUAGAUCCUGUGCUGAAAGAGAAACCAAGAAAAAAGAUGACAUUCCAGAAGAAGACAAAGGAAAUGUAAAACAAUGUGAAAUCAAUUAUGU
Molecule: long non-coding RNA, 145 nt
Organism: Homo sapiens (human)
Lineage: Eukaryota; Metazoa; Chordata; Mammalia; Primates; Hominidae
Exons: 2
Source: RefSeq, a predicted model, not a curated record